UGGGCGCUUUCGAAAGCGCCCAUAAAAAAUAUGGGCGCUUUCGAAAGCGCCUAUAAAAAAUAUGGGCGCUUUCGAAAGCGCCCAUAAAAAAUAUGGGCGCUUUGGAAAGCGCCCAUAAAA
Nitzschia inconspicua is the source of this 120-nucleotide non-coding RNA. The record is from the annotation of a GenBank genome assembly. NCBI's taxonomy places the organism in Eukaryota, Bacillariophyta, Bacillariophyceae, Bacillariales, Bacillariaceae.